AACGAACGCUGGCGGCAUGCCUAACACAUGCAAGUCGAACGAGACCUUCGGGUCUAGUGGCGCACGGGUGCGUAACGCGUGGGAACCUGCCCUUAGGUUCGGAAUAACUCCCCGAAAGGGGUGCUAAUACCGGGUAAUGUCUUCGGACCAAAGAGUUAUAGCCUUUGGAUGGGCCCGCGUUGGAUUAGCUAGUUGGUAGGGUAAAAGCCUACCAAGGCGACGAUCCAUAGCUGGUCUGAGAGGAUGAUCAGCCACACUGGGACUGAGACACGGCCCAGACUCCUACGGGAGGCAGCAGUGGGGAAUAUUGGACAAUGGGCGAAAGCCUGAUCCAGCAAUGCCGCGUGAGUGAUGAAGGCCUUAGGGUUGUAAAGCUCUUUUAACCGGGAUGAUAAUGACAGUACCGGGAGAAUAAGCCCCGGCUAACUCCGUG
Molecule: ribosomal RNA, 433 nt
Filed under: uncultured bacterium
Lineage: Bacteria
Description: partial 16S ribosomal RNA
Rfam family: Bacterial small subunit ribosomal RNA
Source: RNAcentral